AGAGAAACUCUAGAGAAGAGAAGAAGAAAAAGAUCAAAAAAAGAGAUUAAGUGUUGAUUGCAAUCCAAACUUCGUUCAGUUUCAACAGGUUGAAUUUUGAAGAAUAAAAAUUCAGAUUAAAGAGGGCUGUUCCAAACUGAUCUCGAGUGGAUACUCGUAGAGGUCGAACACUUGUGCGGCUAAGAAAGGACCUCUUCUCUUCC
RNAcentral lists this long non-coding RNA (203 nucleotides) under Elaeis guineensis (African oil palm). Its description in RNAcentral is "long non-coding RNA (EGUI_LNC021085)". Lineage: Eukaryota; Viridiplantae; Streptophyta; Magnoliopsida; Arecales; Arecaceae. The record is from RNAcentral.